Aquila chrysaetos chrysaetos is the source of this 699-nucleotide long non-coding RNA. RefSeq lists it as uncharacterized. Lineage: Eukaryota; Metazoa; Chordata; Aves; Accipitriformes; Accipitridae. The transcript has 3 exons. The record is from RefSeq and is a predicted model, not a curated record.
CCCGGCCUUACCGUGCCGCGGUGCCGGGCGGUGUCAGACCCCCGCCGGCAGGCUCAUGGGCGCCGCGCUGAGGCUGCAUCCUUCGGGAUUCAGCCCCAGAACCGCGUCCUCUGCCAGCCGCCUUCCUCCUCCUCCACGGUCACCCGCAUCCAGCCGAGCCUUAAGGAGCUCUGCUGUAACAUUCAUCCGGAUAAAUGGAUCGUGUUAAUGAACAUCAACGGAAGAACCGCAGCCAUAAAUUAACCAGGAGAGCUGGCCUCUGAAGAAACCUUAAUUCUACUUUGACGGCAAAAUCGGAUUCAGACGGUCUCUCUCCCUGCUGUGCUUUAUUUUUGGCCAUAUCGUUUGCUGGGCAGGUUGCCAUGACAACCUUAUAUUCACCGGAGGGUGGCUAUAAUUGGGAGAGCACAUUGUUAAUUUAGCUCCAGAUUUUUUUUUUAUUUUGUCGUAUUUUAAGCAAAGGGGAACUGCCUGGAUUUUCAUAUUUGUAUCUGUGAUCAUACUACGGUUUAAUUAUUAAUCCGAGCGCCAAUAGCAUCGCUCCAGCGAAGGCUGAGCUGCCGUGCAGAGCUCGCCGGGGCAGACAACAGCUCUGUCCGCAUCCCAUUUCCCCGGCUCAUCUCCUCCUCCAGCACCCACACACACACCCCCUUCCAGCCCCCCCGAGCCCCUAAGCCAAGAGUCCCCCGGACCAGGAUU